CUCAGCAUGUAGUGUGGCAGUUUGCUGCAAAGGUCAAAGAAAUUGGUCACUGAAGAGGGAUUUCUAAAAACAAAAGAAAAAAAGAAAACAUCAAAUCUCCUCAUUUACAGUUCUUUCAGUAACAAUUCUACAUCUCAUUGUCAACUCCUGUUAAAUAAUCUGCAGGAAAGGCCACAAUUAAGUGAUAUUCUUCUUAAUGUGUUAUAGAAAACAAGAAACUUACUCCUCUCUAAAAAUAUCCUAAAUAGAAGAAGGUGGUGUCUGUAUGAUGCCAUGUUCCUGUUCAGUCUAUUAAACCUUCUCUGGGGAUCUAUUGUUAUGGUUUCAAAAUCCUAAUUAGUCUCAAAAGCCAUGUCAAUCAACCAGCUGCAAAACAAAAUGGUUCACCAAUGUUA
This is a long non-coding RNA of Anas platyrhynchos (mallard), 395 nucleotides long. RefSeq lists it as uncharacterized. The record is from RefSeq and is a predicted model, not a curated record. Lineage: Eukaryota; Metazoa; Chordata; Aves; Anseriformes; Anatidae.